GACGAACGCUGGCGGCGUGCCUAAUACAUGCAAGUAGAACGCACAGUUUAUACCGUAGCUUGCUACACCAUAGACUGUGAGUUGCGAACGGGUGAGUAACGCGUAGGUAACCUGCCUGGUAGCGGGGGAUAACUAUUGGAAACGAUAGCUAAUACCGCAUAAUAUUGAUUAUUGCAUGAUAAUUGAUUGAAAGAUGCUAUUGCAUCACUACCAGAUGGACCUGCGUUGUAUUAGCUAGUAGGUGAGGUAACGGCUCACCUAGGCGACGAUACAUAGCCGACCUGAGAGGGUGAUCGGCCACACUGGGAAUGAGACACGGCCCAGACUCCUACGGGAGGCAGCAGUAGGGAAUCUUCGGCAAUGGACGAAAGUCUGACCGAGCAACGCCGCGUGAGUGAAGAAGGUUUUCGGAUCGUAAAGCUCUGUUGUAAGAGAAGAACGGGUGUGAGAGUGGAAAGUUCACACUGUGACGGUAUCUUACCAGAAAGGGACGGCUAACUACGUG
Molecule: ribosomal RNA, 505 nt
Filed under: uncultured bacterium
Lineage: Bacteria
Description: partial 16S ribosomal RNA
Rfam family: Bacterial small subunit ribosomal RNA
Source: RNAcentral